CUAUGCGCCUUGCCAGCCCGCUCAGGUGUGCCGCGCCGCGGUAAUACAGAGGUCUCAAGCGUUGUUCGGAAUCACUGGGCGUAAAGCGUGCGUAGGCGGUUUCGUAAGUCGUGUGUGAAAGGCGGGGGCUCAACCCCCGGACUGCACAUGAUACUGCGAGACUAGAGUAAUGGAGGGGGAACCGGAAUUCUCGGUGUAGCAGUGAAAUGCGUAGAUAUCGAGAGGAACACUCGUGGCGAAGGCGGGUUCCUGGACAUUAACUGACGCUGAGGCACGAAGGCCAGGGGAGCGAAAGGG
Molecule: ribosomal RNA, 297 nt
Filed under: uncultured bacterium
Lineage: Bacteria
Description: partial 16S ribosomal RNA
Rfam family: Bacterial small subunit ribosomal RNA
Source: RNAcentral